AGGUCCCACCAUCAGAAGCGUGCUAGCGACAACCAGGCUCCGCGAACUAAUACUUAACGGUGAUCCCGCGGGGUAGAGUGGUAGACGAAGUGUGGGGGGUAGCUUUUAGUACAUAUGCGCCAUGAAUGGCGAAUCGUAUAUGCUGCUAUUAAGAUCCAGCAGUAUCUCUGAAGAUUUUCUACCGCCAGC
Glossina palpalis gambiensis is the source of this 189-nucleotide non-coding RNA. The record is from Rfam. Lineage: Eukaryota; Metazoa; Arthropoda; Insecta; Diptera; Glossinidae.